This 493-nucleotide long non-coding RNA is filed under the name Nicotiana benthamiana. Its description in RNAcentral is "long non-coding RNA (NBEN_LNC003172)". The record is from RNAcentral. Lineage: Eukaryota; Viridiplantae; Streptophyta; Magnoliopsida; Solanales; Solanaceae.
GGCAAGGGAAUAAUCACUACAUGUUCCUCUUUUAAUCGCCUAUUUCUCGAGUAACAAUUUCUAGUCCGAGCCAAUGCUCCAAAUUACAAACCAAUCACAAACCUUCCUCAACUAUUCACUUUAUAUUAUACUUAUCAACCCAAGCAAGAAAGAUGUAUCAUUAAAUAUGAAUCCAACACAUAUAAGAUUCACGGUCAUACUAGACUACGGUGCAUUGAUAACUGUCACCAUGCCUAUACACCGUACCCCAUAUUGAGCAAGUAGAAAAUAAUACCCUAAUCCUAAUCCGUCAAUCCGAAUUUAGAAAAAACACAUACCUCGAUCCGAAAAUAGAAAUCAAGUCUCUAACACUGCCUUUCCUCUAGAAUCCAACUCCGAAAGAAUGAUAUCUAGGGACAAUUUAGUUCAAUAUUAUCAAUAAUGGCUCAAAGAAAAAAUUCGAUAGCCUAGAAAUGAAUUUCCUAUCAUUCUUCCUAAAAUACCAAAAUCCAAC